AUUCCUCGAGUAAGGAGCUAUACUCUGCCAUGGUUUUGGAGCAAGAUAAUCUGGCCAGCCACAGGCUGGGGGGGAAGGCUGGUCCUUUCAAGGAGAGACGUGCAAAAGGAUGUGAAAUUGUCAGGGAAGAUGCAAGGUGGCAAGCAUGACCUCAUGUCUGCUUUGGGAUCACAGAAACAGUGACCGGUGCUCCGAGGCAGUGGCUGACUGACAAGAGACCAGGGGAACCUUCAGGGGGGCCAGGAGUGACAGGCAGCUUUGUCAACAAUGCUGGGAAAGAAACAUCUUUCUAGCAAGAACCUCUGAGCACGCUAACCAGACCACAGCUGAGCACCCCGGAAUCCACCUGCCCCAGGAAAAGCUUCCAUCUUCCAAAAGCUAUGGAUCCCACAUCUUAAUUAGUUACUGCGGGCACACUGACACAGAGCACCCCCAGCAAAGACAACAGUUGGGCUUUGGAUCAAGAACACAGGGUCUGCAUAGCCCAGAGCUGGCAUGAUUCCUGGGGUCUGGCCAAGAAGAAGUGACCACUGUCUUCCAGCCCAGGAGCCAUGAGCUGCAUGGAAAGAAUGUGAAUGAAGACACCAUUCUAAAUGUAGACUCAUGGGUGCUAUGUGAGCCA
This 622-nucleotide long non-coding RNA is filed under the name Mus caroli (Ryukyu mouse). Its description in RNAcentral is "lncRNA (MGP_CAROLIEiJ_G0005027.1)". Lineage: Eukaryota; Metazoa; Chordata; Mammalia; Rodentia; Muridae. The record is from RNAcentral.